GAUCCCCGCCGCCGCCUCACGAGGGCAGCUUCGCCCCCGACCCAAGAUGGCGGCCGGGCAGCGCCGCGGGGCGGAGUUCUGGCGGCGCCAAGAUGGCGGAUGGGGGAGGUGGGACUACAGCUCCCGGAGCGCCGUGCGCGCCUCUCCACCGCGCAGCGGGGCGGCCCGGGGCGGUGCUGCCCGUCGGCCGGUGAGCUGAGCCUGCGGGAUCGGUGUCGGGAACCCACGGCAGCGCUGCUCACCGCAGAGUCAUAGGAUGGUUCAUGUCAGCAGGGAGCUCAGAGAUUUAGGUCCAACGCUGGGCCGGCUGCCCGCCCAGCUGACGCUGCCCGGGGUUCAUCCAUGGCCACGGGGCACCCGCAGCUCUGGGCAGUGCCGGCGCCUCGCCGCCCUCUGAGUGCGCGAUUUCAUUUCCCCGUGUCCUGUCGCUAUCAGACCGUGUGCGGUCUCUCCACUUCCAGCUCACAAGUUCCCUUACAGCACUGAAGGCCACACCGAGGUCCCUCUGAGCUGGACAAACCCGACUCCCUCAGUAAGAAAGGUGCUGGUAAGCAUGGACAGCCAGGAGGGCAGUGGGCUGUGCAGCCCCAGGCCUGCGCUGCACUGCUGAGGACGUACAGCACGCUGGCAGCCACACCGCAGUGUCCCUGUUCUUUGGCCAAUGGCCACAGCAAUCUCUUCUCACUCUCUUUGGAGCAAUGUGUAUCUUCAGUAGCUUUUCUUCCAUUGCUGCAGCUCACAGGCUCUGGAGGUCGGCCAUGCUCUGUGCCUCCUUCAGGCUCCACUCAGGUGGCUGUGCUGCAGGCUUUGUAGUUCCUUUCUGAAGAGGCAGGUUUUGGGGUGCAGCUUUGGAAAUGAGUGGAGGAGAAAGCGGGAGGACGGUGCUCACCCCACCUGACCCAGCACCUGUGGGAACGCAUUCCAUGGAGGCAGCUGCAAGACCACGCAUGCCUUUCCCCCGGUCUGCAGCUGCAUGUAGCCUUCGGCAGGCUUCAGCCUGCUUCUGCAAUGGCUCUUGCAGCUUCUGCGUUGUUUCCAACUGCUGAGGGAGCGGAGGAGGCUUUCCAGCCAGCCCUCCUACCCUUCUCCCGCUGCAGGCUCAGAGUCAGGGCUGAGCACUCAGAACUGAACACUCAACAGGGCUUUUUUGCUGUUGUGUUUCUAUUACGGGAAGAAUGUUUUUCUGAUCAGUGCUGUGGCAUGACUCAGAGCCAUUUUAGAAAGGAACAUCUAGGAACAAAUCAUCCUGUGCAGUCCAUCAACCGGGUUCAUCCGAUUUCCCUCCCUACUGGAGAGAAAUACCUGAAACACCCUCUCCAGUCCCUCAGCCUUUGGUUUUCUUUAACUUGUGAAGUGGCGAGCAACCAAGAAAGGAAAAAGCCCUCCAAACCAUGCAUUUAUUGAGCAGAAUUUAGUUGGAAUGAACACCAUGACCCAUCUGCCCAUGUGGAAGGAACAGACACUUUAUAUCCUCAGUCUCUGCCCAGGCUCCUGCUCUAUUUGAAACUCCUGGACAUUGAAUAUCACCUUCCUCUCUUGCAGGUCCUGAAGACCUGAGAUGCUGAGUGAAGUGUUUUGAAUAGGAUGGCAGGAUUCACUCAGAACCCAAAACGUGCACCUGCUUGGGAAGCUUGUCCAUGUGCAGUAUGUGGUACACCAGAGGAAAGAAAUCCCACCCCAUGUUUGUGUUCCUGGCAAAGAAACUGGA
Lagopus muta (rock ptarmigan) is the source of this 1708-nucleotide long non-coding RNA. RefSeq lists it as uncharacterized. Lineage: Eukaryota; Metazoa; Chordata; Aves; Galliformes; Phasianidae. The transcript has 3 exons. The record is from RefSeq and is a predicted model, not a curated record.